CUUUCACAGGGAUGGUGUCAGUGAAGGCCAGGUCUACCAAGUUCUACUUACCGAGCUCGACGCCAUCCGAAAGGCUUGCGCGUCGCUACCAAAGCGCCACCACACCAUGUUGUUCGUGCACAACCCCAACGAUCAACUGCAGCGGCAACAUCCUUCCAGAUGGGAGCGGUGGCCUUAUCGAGCACAUCUUGCAGCAGCAGCAGCGCUAGGAGGUGCAGCAGGUUGAGAUCGGCAUCCGCCCAUCCACGGAUCAUCUGGGUACAGAGCAGGUCGGGGGAGCCUGCUAACGUGCAUUUUGUAGCAUCUGGAAACCUCAAAGCCUGUCGUCUUGCUUUCAUUGAAAAUUCUCCAUGCUUGAAAUAUUCACUUUAGGUUGGUAUGUUGCCAUUACUUGCUGGCAACCGAGCAAACAAUAAUUAGCUCUUCUGUUUUUCGUUGAUUUAAUAUCAUGCAUACUUGAUGCGUAGAUGCCUUGCUGUGACUUAUUUCUAUUCAAUUCCUUUUGUCCAAUUUAUUGGAAAAUUGUCAUGUAAAAUUGUUGGUGCCGAUGUUUCAGAGUUUACGUUGUGUGACCUAUUCAUUCAUUCAAAUAGAACGGCUGCCCUUUUCUUUUAUUGGUUACAAUUUAAUUUCCUUUGCCAUUAUUUUGUGUUUUGAAUUGCUGAAUACUAGUAGCACUACAGUUAUAGGCAGCAUUAGCACUACAUGUACCAAUUUGUAGGUAUUGCAACUACUAUGACAAGUUUUCAUUCUUCACAAAUUAUUUUUCCUUCCAAGAUUGUAAUUCAGCUAUUCACCAUAUUGAUUUUUAUCCCAAGUUUUGUUUAAACAUCUUAUUGCUGCCCUUUUCUGUUUGGAAUUUAACUUGUGUCUCUCCUCAGGUGAAGCUUGGUAACUAUUUUGGCUUCAAGAAUACCAAGCAUGGGAAACUUUUAAAAUGGCCUUUUUUUCGUCUCAGCGUGGCUGUAUUUGCAUAUAGCCUAGUUGUUAGAGGUUCUUAUGCUAGUACUUAUGGCAAGCCACUGUGAUUGACUGAUUUUGUGUCGUUGGUCUAGUUCCGUACUAUUUGUUAUGAACGCAAUUAGUUUCCACUUUGGUCUUGAUCAAGCCUUGCCUAGGUAGUUACUAGCUAGCAACUGAGCAAGAAGUAAUUUGGUCCCCUUUUUUCUCAUUGAUUUGAUACUAUGCAUACUUCAUGCGUACAUGCCUGGCAGUGAUCUUUCUUUUUUGUAUUCAAUU
Molecule: long non-coding RNA, 1239 nt
Organism: Lolium rigidum
Lineage: Eukaryota; Viridiplantae; Streptophyta; Magnoliopsida; Poales; Poaceae
Exons: 3
Source: RefSeq, a predicted model, not a curated record